GCUAAACGCGAAGAACCUUACCAAGGCUUGACAUGCAUCUCUAAGCGCGUGAAAGCGCGUGACUCUUCGGAGGAUUUGCACAGGUGCUGCAUGGCCGUCGUCAGCUCGUGUCGUGAGAUGUUGGGUUAAGUCCCGCAACGAGCGCAACCCCUGUGAACAGUUGCCAGCGAGUGAAGUCGGGGACUCUGUUCAGACUGCCCAGAUCAACUGGGAGGAAGGUGGGGACGACGUCAGGUCAGUAUGGCCCUUACGCCUUGAGCUGCACACGUACUACAAUGUCCAGCACAAUGAGAACCGAGACCGCGAGGUGGAGGGAAUCUGCAAAACUGGGCUCAGUUCGGAUUGGAGGCUGCAACUCGCCUCCAUGAAGCCGGAAUCGCUAGUAAUGGCGCAUCAGCUACGGCGCCGUGAAUACGUUCCCGGGUCUUGUACACACCG
RNAcentral lists this ribosomal RNA (438 nucleotides) under uncultured bacterium. Its description in RNAcentral is "bacterial SSU rRNA". It matches the Rfam family "Bacterial small subunit ribosomal RNA", at positions 954 to 1392 of the family's 1533-position model. The record is from RNAcentral.